This 269-nucleotide ribosomal RNA is filed under the name uncultured Oscillospiraceae bacterium. Its description in RNAcentral is "partial 16S ribosomal RNA". It matches the Rfam family "Bacterial small subunit ribosomal RNA", at positions 74 to 339 of the family's 1533-position model. The record is from RNAcentral. Lineage: Bacteria; Bacillati; Bacillota; Clostridia; Eubacteriales; Oscillospiraceae.
UUCGUCCAAGUGAAGCAGAGGACAGUGGCGGACGGGUGAGUAACGCGUGAGGAACCUGCCUUUCAGAGGGGGACAACAGUUGGAAACGACUGCUAAUACCGCAUGACAUAGCGGAACCGCAUGGUUUUGUUAUCAAAGAUUUUAUCGCUGAUAGAUGGGCUCGCGUCUGAUUAGCUAGUUGGUGAGGUAACGGCCCACCAAGGCGACGAUCAGUAGCCGGACUGAGAGGUUGACCGGCCACAUUGGGACUGAGAUACGGCCCAGACUCC